This is an unclassified non-coding RNA of Erinaceus europaeus (western European hedgehog), 263 nucleotides long. Its record names the gene 7SK. It matches the Rfam family "7SK RNA". From Rfam's summary of the family: 7SK was discovered as an abundant small nuclear RNA in the mid-70s but a possible function has only recently been suggested. NCBI's taxonomy places the organism in Eukaryota, Metazoa, Chordata, Mammalia, Eulipotyphla, Erinaceidae. The record is from Ensembl.
GGAUGUGAAGGUGAUCUGGCUACCCAUUGAUCACCAGAGUUGAUCCAGCUGACCUGGCUGGCUAGGCAGGUGUCCCCUUCCUCCCUCACUGCUCCAUGGUCAAAAAGGAAGAUGGGUCUGUCUUCUCGGUAGAACAUAUAUAAGUAGCUGUGCUCCCCUGCUAGAACCACCAAACAAGCUCUCAAUGUCUAAAGAAUAAAUGUUUUAAAAUGAAAGAAACUAUCCCCUUCCUUACUAGGCUUACAGAGUAAUUGUGAAGAUGA